UACGUAGGGGGCAAGCGUUGUCCGGAAUCAUUGGGCGUAAAGGGUGCGUAGGCGGCGCGGUAAGUCGGGUGUGAAAUCUCGGAGCUUAACUCCGAAACUGCAUUCGAUACUGCCGUGCUUGAGGACUGGAGAGGAGACUGGAAUUUACGGUGUAGCGGUGAAAUGCGUAGAUAUCGUAAGGAAGACCAGUGGCGAAGGCGGGUCUCUGGACAGUUCCUGACGCUGAGGCACGAAGGCCAGGGGAGCAAACAGG
This 253-nucleotide ribosomal RNA is filed under the name uncultured bacterium. Its description in RNAcentral is "partial 16S ribosomal RNA". It matches the Rfam family "Bacterial small subunit ribosomal RNA", at positions 524 to 776 of the family's 1533-position model. The record is from RNAcentral.